UCAUUUAAAGAAAGCGUAAUAGCUCACUGAUCGAGUCGUCCUGCGCGGAAGAUGUAACGGGGCUAAGCCAGUCACCGAAGCUGCGGAUAUCCGCAAGGAUAUGGUAGGAGAGCGUUCUGUAAGCCUGCGAAGGUGUCUUGUAAAGGAUGCUGGAGGUAUCAGAAGUGCGAAUGCUGACAUGAGUAGCGAUAAUGGGGGUGAAAAGCCCCCACGCCGUAAGC
RNAcentral lists this ribosomal RNA (221 nucleotides) under Duganella rivi. RNAcentral's name for it is "partial 23S ribosomal RNA". It matches the Rfam family "Bacterial large subunit ribosomal RNA", at positions 1119 to 1344 of the family's 2925-position model. Lineage: Bacteria; Pseudomonadati; Pseudomonadota; Betaproteobacteria; Burkholderiales; Oxalobacteraceae. The record is from RNAcentral.